GGACUACCGGGGUAUCUAAUCCCGUUCGCUCCCCUGGCUUUCGUGUCUCAGCGUCAGCACACUCCCAGCAACCUGUUUUCACCAUUGGCGUUCCAAACGAUAUCUACGCAUUUCACCGCUCCACCGUUUGUUCCGGUUGCCCCUAAGUGGCUCAAGACACCCAGUAUACCAAGCAGUUCCACGGUUGAGCCGUGGGAUUUCACAAGGUACUUAGGCAUCCGCCUACACACGCUUUAAGCCCAGUGAUUCCGCCUAACGCUCGGCACCUCUGUCUUACCGCGGCUGCUGGCAC
This 292-nucleotide ribosomal RNA is filed under the name uncultured bacterium. RNAcentral describes it as "partial 16S ribosomal RNA". The record is from RNAcentral.